RNAcentral lists this long non-coding RNA (227 nucleotides) under Ananas comosus (pineapple). RNAcentral's name for it is "long non-coding RNA (ACOM_LNC037293)". The record is from RNAcentral. Lineage: Eukaryota; Viridiplantae; Streptophyta; Magnoliopsida; Poales; Bromeliaceae.
UAGAGAUAAAGUGGAUCACAUAUACUCUUUGUAUGGGGAUUGAUAAUGCAUGUGCUCAAUGAAAAACCCACCAGAUCAUGAAUGCAACAUGAAAUUCAACUGAAGCUCAUCAUGAAAUUUAUUAAAAGCAUGGUUUGGGGUGCACUUGUAUGUGCUCAAGAAAGGAAAACAAAAAUGGUGCUACUGCUGUGCCUUUUCCUCUGCUCCCCGAGGGUGUGCUACAGCUC